RNAcentral lists this ribosomal RNA (498 nucleotides) under uncultured bacterium. Its description in RNAcentral is "bacterial SSU rRNA". It matches the Rfam family "Bacterial small subunit ribosomal RNA", at positions 29 to 505 of the family's 1533-position model. The record is from RNAcentral.
AUUGAACGCUGGCGGCAUGCCUAACACAUGCAAGUCGAGCGGCAGCGCGUCCGACCACCCUCGGGUGGUCGGAUGGCGGCGAGCGGCGGACGGGUGAGGAAUGCAUCGGAAUCUGCCUCGUUGUGGGGGGAUAACGUAGGGAAACUUACGCUAAUACCGCAUACGACCUACGGGUGAAAGUGGGGGACCUUCGGGCCUCACGCGAUGAGAUGAGCCGAUGCCGGAUUAGCUAGUUGGCGGGGUAAAGGCCCACCAAGGCGACGAUCCGUAGCUGGUCUGAGAGGAUGAUCAGCCACACUGGAACUGAGACACGGUCCAGACUCCUACGGGAGGCAGCAGUGGGGAAUAUUGCGCAAUGGGCGAAAGCCUGACGCAGCCAUGCCGCGUGUGUGAAGAAGGCCCUUGGGUUGUAAAGCACUUUCAAUUGGGAAGAAAGGUUAGCGUGUUAAUAGCACGUAGCUGUGACGUUACCUUUAGAAGAAGCACCGGCUAACUCCG